Esox lucius (northern pike) is the source of this 7761-nucleotide long non-coding RNA. The record is from Ensembl. Lineage: Eukaryota; Metazoa; Chordata; Actinopteri; Esociformes; Esocidae.
ACCAAACAUCUCUUGGCGUAACAAACCUACUGUAUAUAUUAUCAUGGAUUUAGCUUUUUCUCUUUGACUCCUGCAUUAUGAUUUUUUUUUUUACUGUAAAUAUGAUCUAGCAAGCUAAAUACUAUGGUACGACGGCUGAGCACGCUCGUCCCUUUGAUUUGACUCAGUCAUUGUUCGUUUAAUUUCCAAAGAAAUAGAGGCCGAGGGAUUUGCACUACCAACCCAGGUAAUAUUGCUAGUAACGGCGACGUAACCUUACAUUCUAGACAGUCCGAGCUAGCAAAUGAACGUUCGCUCGAUAGCUAGCUAACGCAAACUACACAGAUACAAUACGGAAUUGCGUUUUGAAAUUAGUCUAAUGUUAGCGUGCAAUGUUCAUGAAAAAUACUCGGUUAACUUUUUUUGACUGUGUACAGUAGUUAAUCAUCUAACUAGAAGUAUAGAUAUAAACCAGACACAACAUAGUUAUUGUAAGCGUAUUUUGUAAAUAAAUAUAGCUAUAAGUGAUGAUAACGGAACGUCUUUGUCCCAUGCCUUUUGCCAUGGUCUGUAGAUUUACCUGGCUGUAGGCCCACAACAAAAUCGCUUCAGUAGCAUCACGUGAUACAAAAGCCCCAUCUAACACAAAGCGUUCUUUUGAGUAACGUUAGGUUGUUAUAGUAGCAUAUUACAAAUUGAAUACAAAUCAAAGCAAUACCAACGUCAUCGUUUGCUCAGAAAAUGGACACUAUAGAAAGUGUACGAUUUCAAACUAUCCAUUCUGAAACAGAGAAUAGAUAUCAAAACCCACGCACUCAACAUGACGAAAAUGAAGGUAUCUUUAGUACAAAUGUGGAUGAAGAAAUUAAAGAUUAUUCCUUCACCGAAAUACAAGCUCAUGACCUAGAGCAUUAUAGAAGAUGUCAAAUAGGUAUCUCAUGUUCCCAAGAGGACUACCAAGUAGAUGUUUGCAGGAAUGUUAUAAAUCAAAUUAUAGGAGAUGGGGUGCAGACACACUGGAGUUUUUCCAGAUUAGUCAAGUGUUUCAGUGAUCGGGACUGUUCUAAAGUGAAGUUCAGCCAAGUCCUUGCUGAAUACAAGUCUGACAUUCUACCUCUCAUAAUUGAGGAAUAUGGUAGUCUUAGCCAAACUGAGAAGAAAAUGAUGUCCCUUAUUAAUCAGCUUUUGUGUGGAUUACAUUUGAUUGUUGGCUUAGCUCAUCAGGCCAAAAUAACGCUUCUACUGUGGGACAACAUGAUUUUCGGUGAGCAGUUAGUAUGCGCAGGAGCCCAUAGUCUUCGUUACGUUGGGCCAACUGAAUUGGAGUCUGGAACAGUGCGUGCUGUGAGAACACUGAGCAAUGCUUUCCAGACGCUGGAGUUUGUGGAGUUCAAAACAUUUUUGACCAGCAAAGGAGAAUUUGACGAACAGCUCUUUUCUCCAUCCAGUGUAAACAGAAUUGACAGUCUGUUUCAUAACGCUGCUGGGUUAUAUAGCAUCUGUAAUGAUUUGCUUCAGUUUACCAGUGGCUGCACAGAAAACAUUAGUUUGCUUGAGGAUGUCGCAGCUGAUUUGAAGGUUCAACAGUUCAGAGCGGGAUGCAGAGCACUUGGCCUGUUUUUCAAAUUUGUUAUUCAGCCUUUCUGGAAAGCCCUGACUUUGAGUGGAGAUUUGUUAAAGAUGAACAUAAGAUACCAAAUCUUGAUUGGAAAGCUUAAGGAAUGGCACAUAGAUGGCAAAAGCCUUGUGGAUGGAAAUGUUUGCUUGUUUGAUGACAUUGAGGUAGAAGGGGAUCCUGUCUUAGACAAGCUUACUAUGUCUAUAGACGAAGGCUGUUUCGAAUUGACAGUUCAGAUUGUCGAAUUGCUAUCCUACAGUUUUCUAAAGGUGUGUCAUCAGAUCCUGCCAAUUGAUCUAGAGCCUUCAGAUGACAUUAGAGAGAGGAAUGAUUUGGUGUCAAAGAUGGAUGAUCACAGCGGGCAGAGUUUAAAUGUCCCAUUACAUUCACAAAAGGCUAAAUCAAAUGCUACCUGUUUCGCCCUUGAAGGUAUGUUUGUAUCUAAGAGGCAUCGUUCUUGGAAAUGGCUGUCCUUAUUGGACAAAGAAAAAACUGUUUCAGUUUUAAAAACCCUGAAGCAAACUUUGAAACUGAACAAAAUCUUGAACAAAAGAAGAAAAGUUUUUGUGCGAUCAAAAUUCCCAAAUACAAAAAAUAAAAACAUGGCAGUUGACAUGGUGACAUCAGUUCAGUUGAGGCCAGCCAAGGAGAUGUCUUGGAAAGUUGAAGCUAUGACUAAAAUAAAAUCCCAGCAAUAUCACAAAUCAGCAUCAUGCUCAGGUACACUCGCAAUCAAGAAUUUUGGAAAAAGAGUGGAAGGGAAGGAACUUAAAUACGUGUCUAAGCAAAUUGCCAAUACGAAAUCUGAAGCAUUUGCGCACCAGAGCAAUAUUAGAAAGCCGGUUCAAGUAAAGCCAAAGCCUGGGCUAGAAGUAUUAGAAACAGGACCUCUACAAUGGCCCAAACAGUGUACUAGACAGGGAACACUGGUGAGGGGACAUUUGGAUGCACUUUCUAGUGUUUCUUUGUCCCCUAUGAGGGCCCGGGAUAAUGUGACCAUGGAACACUAUUUAACCCAAAAGCUGACACAGUAUGGUGGGCAGUGGAAGCACGUGAAAGACAUUGAUAAAAAUGUGGCUAUGAUAGAUGCGAAGGAUAGAUAUGCAGCAUUAGUCAGCCAGCUGUUAUUUCACAGGUUUGUUCUAGGUUUCCGCAAUAAGCACGGUGUCUUCAAUACCUCAUGUGCCGGUAGGAGGUUGCAGUUGAGCGAACUAGUGGAUAAUUUGAAACGUUCCUUAUUGACUAAACGAUGAGGAGGAGGAGGAUGUUAAAAGUGGAUGAUCACAAUAGUUUACUAUACAUUUGAUUACUGUGCAGACAAACGUGUAUUCCGUUCACAGAAAAUGCUCAUUUAAACUUAAUACUGUUACCGCAUAAAUGGAAACAAAAGGAAGCAGAAAUAACUGACUGAUCUCAGAUUUGUUCGAUCAGUUUAAAAAACACAAAUCCUGUUUCAGUGCUGAGAUGGAGUAGUGUCAACUAUUCUGCCAAAUAGACAGAUCAUGUUUUGAAAGGUCAAUAAGCUUGUUUUUGGUAAUACAUUUGCAGUGAACCACUUGUGGUUACUGUGGUGAAAAUGUUUAUAAUAUAUGUGAUAUGCAACAUUUUAGACAGCUGUACAAUUGGUAGGCUGAAAUGUCAUUUACUGUUGUGUGCAGCAACAAAGUAGUGCAUCUCUGGUAUAAGUGUAGAAGGGACAGCAUCUUAGAGGACUGCAAGUGUAUGUAAGGGUGGAGCCUCAUUUCUUUACCCUUAAAAAGAAAGGGUUUGAGUUGGUUGAUUUAGCAAUUUCCCUUGGCCUCCUGUUCACGUAUAGCUGACAUCUUGUGUAAAAAGACCAAGGUCACAAGAAAUGCUUUUUUAUUUUGGAAUGAUUGCUAGAUGUGCAACCUUGCAAGUGACUAAAUAGCCCUUUGAAAAACGUUUUGAAGUGCCUCAUUUCUUUUUGGAAACGUUGAAUAGUCAGUGUUCUUUGGUUAAAGAAGGUAUACACAUUUUUGGAAAGGACUUCUUAAUUUUUCUUCUCCAUUUUUUUCUUACAAACCAUAUAUGUUUACACCAAGACACCACAAAUUCCCUUUUUGGACACAUGACUGCUGUUGACUAGGUGGCGGAAGUUUUUUUCAUUCUGAGUGAGACUUUUUGCUGACCUGCUUCUCUGAAACGUGAGUAGCGUGACCCCAAAGGAUCAUAAAACCAAGCAACUCCCACUGGACUCAGCGUCUGGUGAAGCACAUCCAAUUCCGUUGUGGUUCUUAUCAUGCUGCUCGCUCAACAAGGACGUCUACACUGGAAUCUCUGUGCUGGAAUGAACACACACUCCGGUCCUGUGGCUCACACACCCCAAGCUGCCACAUGGAGUCAAGGCAAGAAAUCCACAUUCAGUUACAAACCUUGUCUGACAAAACCUUAAGUCAGGUUCAAGAGAAUGUCUUUGGAACAGCAUCCUCAAGCAGUUGCAAAGAGUUCCUGCACACCACUAAAGGCAUUUUAUUUUUUUACAUUUGCCAAAGAGAAACUGUUUCAGGAACACCACUCUUUUCAAUUCUAAUUCCAGAUUGAAAACUAUGACUGUGUGCCUAGUGGGUUUAAUUUAGCUCUACUCAAAAUUCUAAAAGCUACUUUGGGAUAAAAGCCAUUUAUUGACAUUUUGAAGAUAUUUCACAGCGACUUAGAAGACACAUUACUAGAAUAUUUUUUUUUUUAACUCACAUUAAGUUGAGAAGUUGAGGGAACUGUGAAGAAUUUUAUCUACCGGUAUUUGAUAUGGGGCUUUUCAAUUUGAGCAAUAAAAUGUAUCUGAUAGAAAAUGUGUCCCAAUAUAACGUCUGCAUUUUAGAUUGCACGUUUGUAUGUAGACAAAAUCAUUUGUGGGUGAAAGGAUAUUGUGAAACAAUGUUAUUUAAAUAUUAAAGGGAUUGUUUGACCUGAAAAAUGACCCCAUGGGCCUUCAAGAAAAUCUCAGGGUAAUUGUAAUUUCAACCAAUUAUGAAUCUAGGUCAAUCUAUCCCUUUAAUAGUUAUAAUAUCCCUUUAAUAGUUAUAUUGCCUGCCUCAAGUGGAGGAGUUUAAGUAUCUAGGGGUCUUGUUCCCGAAGGAGGGAAGGAUGGAACGGGAGAUUGACAGACGGAUCGGUGCAGCUUCUGCAAUAAUGCGGUCGAUUUACCGGUCAAUCUACGUUCCUAUUCUCACCUAUGGUCAUAAGCUUUGGGUCAUGACCGAAAGGACAAGAUCCCGGAUACAGGCGGCCGAAAUGAGCUUUCUCCGCAGGGUGGCUGGGCGAACCCUUAGAGAUAGGAUGAGAAGCUCGGUCACCCGGGAGGAGCUCAGAGUAGAGCCAUCGAGAGUGGUCAGCUGAGGUGGCUUGGGCAUCUGUUUCGGAUGCCUCCGGAACGCCUUCCUGGGAAGGUGUUCCGGUCCCGUCCCAUCGGGAGGAGACCCCGGAGAAGACCUAGGACACGCUGGAGGGACUAUGUCUCCCGGCUGGCCUGGGAACGCCUCGGUGUCCCCCCGGAAGAGCUAGAGGAAGUGUCUGGGGAGAGGGAAGUCUGGGCAUCUCUGCUUAGACUGCUGCCCCCGCGACCCAGCCCCGGAUAAGCGGAAGAAAAUGAUGAUAUUGCAUAAAUUCAUGAAAUUGGUCCAUUAAAUAUUUUAUUGGAUAUACAACCGUGUAAUUGUUAUUGUGACAAUGGGCCUCAUUCAUGAAACAUGCAUACAAUCCAAUUUGAUUGUACGACCAUUUCACAGACAGAGCUGGUAUUCAUCAAUAUUAUCUUUGUUGUAUCCUUGCGAUCAAACUCAUGUCUGGUCGGAGGCCGCGUAAACCCCUGUCAAAAACAUAAGAUCAUGCUUGAUUCCCAAUAAGACCAUCAUUAUCAUGAAAAACAGCAAUCAUAACAGUCUCAGUAACAACAACCACAAUUACAAUUAUAGGUAAUAUAAAACAAGUUGAAGAGGAAUAUAACAUCUCCAAAUGUAACCACAAUAUCAAAUAUUGUGUCACUAUUGUUAUAUAUUUUAAUUUCAUUUUCUCUUAUUUCUGUUGUUCAUGCGAUUUUAAGGGUUGAAAUGCAUGUGUGUAAUGCGCUAGACAAAUUUGCUUUGUCUGGCUUUUCCUAAGUCACUGAAGCUGUAUCGACGUACUUGGAGGUCAUAAAUGGUCGUUCAUUUCGGUGGCCGGCAUCUUGAAUAGCUAGCAGGUCUUAAAUUGACUAGUGAGAGGAUAAAUUAACCAGUAGCUCUGGGUCGAGCAGUUACCCUAAUGAUGGCAGAGCUUGCUCUUUUAAAGGACUUCGGCUCUGGGCUGAGACGCGAAAGAGUUCCGUAACUGCGGCUGAUUUCGUCGUGGGGAAUGAUGAAUGGUUAAUUAUCCGUUUCAGGCUAUAAUUUAUGUUGAAGUCUGUCAAUUCAUAGGCUGCUGAUCGCCACCCCCGCAUUAAUCACAGGUGUGUCAUAUGUAAAUAGGGACAGCUGCAGUGCGUUCUUGCGUCCACGGCUUAAUCGGAUUUAUCAAUCUGCGAUCACAUCUACGCUAAUUUCGAUUUAUGAAUGAGGGACAAUAUUUAUAUUUCAGUGUUGUGUUGUCAGGAUCAUGUAAUGGUACCUGUGUGGACGUCUUGGUCUGACAACUUGUGUUUUUGCAGGUAAAUACACCUUUGUGUCUAACUGCUGAGUGUCUGUGAAGCAGAAUGGAUUCAUCAUCCCUUUUCCAUGGUAGACUGAACUGUUUGUCUUAUACAAGUGAACCUCAACCUCAGAAGGUGCGUUGUUUAUGAAACAUUUUAGAAAUACAAUGUAUUAAAUGUGAACAUCACUUUCCAAAUCUGGCAUUUUGAUAUACACUGGUAGUAGUUUUGAAAAGACUGUUAAAACUGAUUUACCCCCAAUAUUUACACCUUUCCCCCCACUACAUUGUCAAAAAUAAUGCUCUGAAAUGAUAGGGCAUUAGCAUACGCUCUUUCUUUGGAGAGCAAUUUAAAGAAAAUGCCUUGAAUUUCAUGCUAUUUGCCCAACUGCUAACAUGUGAGUUACUGACACUUUGGAUUGACUAUUUAGACUGUAUGUACACAGCUGUCAAAUGAGCUUGACCCUCGUUUUGCUGCCUCUUUUUAAAUUUCAUUCACAGAUCCUUGAUUUGCUGUACCAUAGGGACAUGAAGUUGAUUCUGUCGCCAACUUGUGGACCUGUCCUAAGGAUCUUCAAAAACACCACUGUUGUAUUUUUGAUCACAUAGGUUUUCCUGUCAGACCGGUUGUCUUUAAUUUCCAUGCCCUGGCCUGACUGACCGGAACAUUUAUCCGAACAGAAAUCUAAUGCUUCUCACAGUGGAGAAUUCUGGACUGGUUGUGAGGUCACAGGAAAUAGACUGCAUCUUCGACACAGCUCAAUAAAUGUUUUCACAAUUUAAAUCUGAGUUUACAGUAUGAACUGUGUCACAAAUUUAUUGGUGCCAUUGAUAUUUCCUGUAGGCUAAUUUUAGUAAUUACAACAUCAAGUUAAUAAAAGGAUCAAUAGUAUGUACCUACUAUGUUUUCAUUCUCCCAGCUCGAUGGAACUUGAUGUGCUGGAGUCCUUGCUUAAGAUGUAAAAUAUCAGGUUGUUCCUUACUUGCUGCAGCCUAAUGGUCAUCUUAUUGUGAAACCUGUAACACAUUUUUAAUCUCUCAAUUUUUUUAUGGUACCAACCAGUCUCUGGACAGUCAUAAGCUCCUAACAAACCUAACGACCCUGUUAACUAAAUAUGUAUAUCUAUUUAAAAACGGUGUUGUCUAUCUGGCCAAAACAAUUUGAUCUCUGAUACAUUCUGAAUAUGUAUCCGUAUUCAGUACAAUAUGUAUUGUGAAUGCACAUCAAUCAGAUUUUAGACCUCUGUUAGUCAUCGUUUUUUGGGGGGAAGCUAUAUCUGGGUUUGCUUUACCAGUUUUUCCUUGAACAAUGCCUUGAAAAAUAAAAAUGUUGAAAUGUUCCUUUUUGGUUUGGGCUUUACUUCGUUCCAAAACGAACUUGUUACUUGUGAUUAUCCCGUUUUAUGUUCACCACCCAUUUAAUGUAGUUGUAUGUCAACCUUUUGUGUAUUCUAUCCCUAUUCUAUCUAAAAUUACCAUUACACCAACUGCCAUUUUGGAUAUGUAAAUGUAUCUGGCGCGAAUAAAGCUGAUUCUGAAAC